CAGUCGCCGCGGGAAUACGGAGGGUGCGAGCGUUAAUCGGAGUUACUGGGCGUAAAGCGUGCGCAGGCGGUUGUGUAAGACAGGUGUGAAAUCCCCGGGCUUAACCUGGGAACUGCGCUUGUGACUGCACAGCUAGAGUAUGGCAGAGGGGGGUGGAAUUCCACGUGUAGCAGUGAAAUGCGUAGAGAUGUGGAGGAACACCGAUGGCGAAGGCAGCCCCCUGGGCCAAUACUGACGCUCAUGCACGAAAGCGUGGGGAGCAAACAGGAUUAGAUACCCCGGUAGUCCCUGUCUCUUAUAC
This 301-nucleotide ribosomal RNA is filed under the name uncultured bacterium. Its description in RNAcentral is "partial 16S ribosomal RNA". It matches the Rfam family "Bacterial small subunit ribosomal RNA", at positions 509 to 807 of the family's 1533-position model. The record is from RNAcentral.